This 885-nucleotide long non-coding RNA is filed under the name Pan troglodytes (chimpanzee). Its description in RNAcentral is "lincRNA". The record is from RNAcentral. Lineage: Eukaryota; Metazoa; Chordata; Mammalia; Primates; Hominidae.
CUUUGGCUCCUGGGGAUCCACCUGCAGCCCACAGGGGCCUGGAAGUGCCGGGGGACCAUGGUCCUGGACACCCAGAGACUUGGCAGAACAUCAGCUGAUGCUGCUCCCUUUAAAACACUUUUGACUGCUCUCUGGUUUGGCUACUGUUCAUUAGUUGAUGCUGAAACUGUUCUUACUGAAGCCUUCUGCUUCAAAUUGAGGGUGACAACAUUGACUCUCCUGGUUCUCAGACCUCUGGAUAUGAGACCUCUGGCGCAACUCACCCCUGGCUUGCACCAAACAUUCUUAAAAUGUUUAUUGGGGUCAGGUGCAAUGGCUCGCACCUGCAAUCCCAGCGCUUUGGGAGGCCAAGGCAGGAGGACUGCUUGAGACCAGGAGUUCAAGACCAGCCUGUACAACAAGACAAUUUGGCCAGGAAGUGACCGGCAAUGGAAAGAGGGAAAUAAUCAGCACAUCCGCAUGUGUGCCCAUCUCAGAGACACAAACUGUGAAUAACAACUCACUUGGCUUCAUAACCAAGACCUACUCUGAGGAAUUGCAUCUCUUCCUUGGAGACCUUGAUUGGCCUGCUAGGUUAAAGGCAUUUCACUAAAUUCUUGGAGGAGUCUGAGAGAACUUGGGGGCGCUUGAGGAACCCAAAGGUGUGAAGUAAAAGCUGGAAACCAAGAUUGCUGGGAAAGUUCAGAGAAAGUAGAGAUACUUCGUUUGAUGGAGAUCACAUGCAAGGGAGUCUACUCCAAGAUCAAAGGCAACCUAUAGCAAUUUAUGAGAAAUGAAGGAAGUGGGAGAGAUGCUAAGUUACUUUAAGGGAUGUUCUGAAAUCAUGAAUCUAGCUGGAAUAGCUGGUGUUGGCUGUGUCCAGAAGAGCUGGGACAAGUACAGACA